This is a long non-coding RNA of Ornithorhynchus anatinus (platypus), 179 nucleotides long. RefSeq lists it as uncharacterized. The transcript is spliced from 3 exons. The record is from RefSeq and is a predicted model, not a curated record. NCBI's taxonomy places the organism in Eukaryota, Metazoa, Chordata, Mammalia, Monotremata, Ornithorhynchidae.
GUGACGUGGGGGUGGAACUGCCCCUAACCCUGAUGCACCCCAAGCCGGCGAAUGAUGCCACCGGCGCCGAGGACAUCGUCGUCGAGGAAUUCGCCCGGCACAAGCUCGGGGCCGAGAAGGACGAGGACGAGGACGAGGAGGAGGAAGGACAGAAUUGAGCCGAACCCCCGGCUCCCCCC